RNAcentral lists this ribosomal RNA (477 nucleotides) under uncultured bacterium. RNAcentral describes it as "partial 16S ribosomal RNA". It matches the Rfam family "Bacterial small subunit ribosomal RNA", at positions 28 to 523 of the family's 1533-position model. The record is from RNAcentral.
GACGAACGCUGGCGGCGUGCUUAGCACAUGCAAGUCGAACGGUAAGGCCCUUCGGGGUACACGAGUGGCGAACGGGUGAGUGACACGUGGGUGAUCUGCCCUGCACUUCGGGAUAAGCCUGGGAAACUGGGUCUAAUACCGGAUAGGACCACUGCCUGCAUGGGUGGUGGUGGAAAGCUUUUGCGGUGUGGGAUGGCCCGCGGCCUAUCAGCUUGUUGGUGGGGUGAUGGCCUACCAAGGCGACGACGGGUAGCCGGCCUGAGAGGGUGACCGGCCACACUGGGACUGAGAUACGGCCCAGACUCCUACGGGAGGCAGCAGUGGGGAAUAUUGCACAAUGGGCGCAAGCCUGAUGCAGCGACGCCGCGUGAGGGAUGACGGCCUUCGGGUUGUAAACCUCUUUCAGCACCGACGAAGCGCAAGUGACGGUACCUGCAGAAAAAGCACCGGCUAACUACGUGCCAGCAGCCGCAGUAA